Long non-coding RNA from Oncorhynchus tshawytscha (Chinook salmon), 3152 nucleotides. RefSeq lists it as uncharacterized. Lineage: Eukaryota; Metazoa; Chordata; Actinopteri; Salmoniformes; Salmonidae. The transcript is spliced from 6 exons. The record is from RefSeq and is a predicted model, not a curated record.
CGUUUCCGUUUUUGCGAUGGCCACGUGGGCGCGAACAUAUUUUGUGGCUCUACAUUUUAUGUAGGUGUACAUGUAAACUACUAAAGGGCAACUCCUCCACAUUUCAACCUCAUUCAUUAUCUCCAGCCCCAAACCAGUGUCUACAUAUGCGAAAUCGUUACGUUUCUGUGGUUAAAAGAUAAAGGUCCCAAAUGCUUCUAACAUCACGUCUCCAAGGUGAAGAGUACAAUGAGGAAGAUUAGAUGCCACCAUGACCUAUUGGUGUCACUGUCCAAGCAAAUGGCACAUGAACGUAGCAGUAAGGCCUGCCUUUUCUCCGUGAAAGAAUAUAGUGAUAAAGGGUGGUGCAGCACUGCUUGCUGACUUACUGGUUAGUGGGUCAUGAUGUGACUCCACAAUGGAUGUGAAGUUGCCAAUGCGAAAUUGGUAUACCGCUGGUUGGUGUCCUAGCGGCUGUGACCUGGAAGUAGCAGAAUGAUUGCCGCCUUUCCUCCCUGAAAGAAUGCUGUGCAGUGUGCACAUAACAGCGAUAAAGGAUGGUCUGGAGGUGCAGCAGUGCUGACCUACUGGUUAUAGUGGGUCAUGAUGAGGCGCCACAAGCCACGCUGCCAAUGAGAAGUUGGUAUUUUGGUGUCCUAGCAGAUGUAACCUGGAAGUAGCAGAAUAAUUGCCGCCUUUCCUCCCUGAAAGAAUGCUGUGCACAGAACGGUAAGCAACAUCCAUGGCAUUUUAACUUUAAGUCUUAAAAGAAAAUGUUUAAUGAGAAAUCAUUCACCACGCUGAACUUGUGAUGGAUAACCUCUAUACCACAUUAUCUGAGACCUGCAGAGACAUAGUUACAAAUUCACACAAGGCUUGUUAAUGUUACACUGAGCAAAUGAACGGGUUGGUUUCAUGAGCUGAAAUAAAAGUUCGCAGAAAUCUUCCAUGCGCACAAGAACCUUAUUUCUCAAAUGUUUUGCACAAACUUGUUUAUACCUGUUAGUGAGCAUUUUCCUUUGCCAAGAUGAUCCAUCCACCUGAUAUGUGACAUAAGCUUCUUUAUUAAACAGCAUGAUCAUUACACAGGUACACCUUGUGCUGUGAAAAAAAUAUGCCGUUUUGUCAACACAAUGCCACAGAUCUCUCAUGUUGAGGGAGCGCAAUUAGCAUGCCGACUGCAGGAAUGUCAACCAGAGCUGUUGCCAGAUUUGGAUUUUAAUUUCUCUACCAUAAGCAGCAUCCCAACAUUUUAGAAUUUGUCAGGACUUCCAUAUUUUCACCUAUACGAUCUGAGACCGCUACCCGGACAGCUGAAACUGGGUUUGCUCAACAUUCAGUUCUGCAUGGACUGUCAUACAGUCUCAGGACACUUGGGUGUCUUGACCUGACUAUGCUCACCUUUGUUGGAGUGUGCCCUUCACAGGUGUAUCCCAGUUUCAACUGUACCGGGUAGAUGGCAGGCAGCGUCCAGUGUUGUGGGUGCGCAGUUUGCUGAUGUCAAAGUUGCGAAGAGUGCCCUAUGGUGGCAGUGGUGUUACGAUAUGGGCAGGCAUAAGCAAUGGCCAACUACAUACAAAUUGCCGUCGAUAAUAUGUAAUUGUGUUUUGAGGUUCCGUGAUGAGAUCCUGAGGCCUGUUGUGCCGCCAUCUGUCUCACCUCGUGUUUCAGCGCUAAUCCAUGGCCCUAUGUUGUAAUGAUCUGUACAAAAUUCCUGUGAGCUGAAAUGUCCUGUUUCUUCCAUGGCUUACAUACAGAGCAUGUUUAUGAUGCUUUGUAUGAUUGUGUGUUCCUGCAAUAUCCAUCCACUUCGAACAGGCCACACUCACCUCAUCUGCUCAACUCUAUGCGAAGGAGAUGUUGUGAUGCCUGAGGUAAAUGGUUGUUGCACGAGCCUUUAUCUGUGACAAAUCUAUUCCCUGUCAUGUGAAAUCUAUAGAUUAGGGCCUACUGGAUUUAGUACCAUAGCCUGAUUUUCCUUGACUUAACUUUGAAAAUUUGAAAUUAGUUCGGUAUAGAUUAAACCUACUAAUGGACUAAAGCUCUUUCAAUGGAGAAUCCAUGUAGGCACCAAUAGGUUUGUUUUUCAGCACAUGUAUUAAUGGUGUUUCCUACCUCUUGAUGUACUUGUGGCUCCAAUUGCAUGAUAAACUGACCCACAAUGACUUAACUGCCCGCUUUAGUGGGAAGCAGGUAUGGCACAGUCUCAGGUACCCAGACCCUCGCCAGGAGGGCAAAGUGUCCUAACCUAUUAAUCACGCACGUUUGGUGCAAUACUCAAGAACUAGCAUCAAUGUAUUUGGACCCACUACUUAAUGUGUAUGCUGUUGCCUUGAUAUGUUGCUCUUCAAACUUACCUGUUACAUCUUUAUUUUCAGAGUCUGACAGUGUGGGGUUGACAUGGCGCCACAGGUCAUUGUAAGUCUGCCUCAUUUGGUUACACACUGGCUAAAUGUAUAUUGGUCUCAUCGAAAUCUGCCCCUUGAGGUGUUGCAGUCCGACUAUGUGUUGAGCCUGUGUCAUGAGGGGCGGAGAGUAACCGGGCUACGUCUACGCCAAGGACCCAGGACAGUGGGUACUUUGCAUGACUAUGGCGCCGAUAUUGGGACCCAUUUUAGACCAGCAGACAAAUGUCAACUUCUAGUGCUUGAACAGGUGGCCGAGUGCUUGAUUUAAGCUCCCUCGGUAGUUUAGCUUGUUUUGCCAAAACCACUUAUUACUGACUGGUAAUUGCCAUUGGGCCAAUACUUAGUUGAUUCAACUAACCUGAGGUUUUAUGACUUGGUCACUUUUUUUAAAGGGUUGCCAGGUUUUUUAUAUUAUUCUCACCAAUUUCCUGAUUUGAUCGAUGGGACAGGUGCUGAAGAACGACUGAAGAUUGGCCUGUUGAAGAUGAAAGGUGGCAGUACCUUAGAAGAAAGCAGAUUGUUCAGUUGCCAGUCCUAGACUAGGGUGCCAUCUGAUUGUGUAUGCAGCUGCCACUAUUAUAGCCGUUAGAUGCCGUUAAUCACAGCAAGCUCAGUUUUAGUUUCUGGUUAUCACGUGAAAACCCUUUACUCUGGGUGACCUAGGUGAAAUUGGCUCAACAAAUAUUAAUUAAACAUACCUGCCCUGUUCGAUUUGAAUAAAUGUAUUGCUUUCAAGAUAAUUAAAAUAAACUCAAGCUGAUCUCA